ACGCUCGACACCUACUGGAGGCAGCAGUCGGGAAUAUUGCGCAAUGGAGGGAACUCUGACGCAGUGACGCCGCGUAUAGGAAGAAGGUUUUCGGAUUGUAAACUAUUUUAGACAGGGAAGAAUAAAGACAGUACCUGUAGAAUAAGCUCCGGCUAACUACGUGCAGCAGCCGCGGUAAUCUGAGCGGGCUGGCAAGGC
Molecule: ribosomal RNA, 198 nt
Filed under: uncultured bacterium
Lineage: Bacteria
Description: partial 16S ribosomal RNA
Rfam family: Bacterial small subunit ribosomal RNA
Source: RNAcentral